GGGGGUGUCCUGGUUUCGACAGGAUACAGCUGACUCAUAACUGCAGUGGUUUGGUAGACCUUAAUACUUCUAGGUUUGAUAAAAUGCAAACGAAGAAAAAAAUGAAUUUGAAAUGCCAGCAUUUAUGUUCAAUAAUGCAACAGCUGGAGUUGCUUUAGCAGCUUAAUAAACUUUUAAAGUUUAUAGCAGUUCAACGUUAAGAAAUGUGUUUGUACUUCAUUGAUUAACGUAUUACCUAGUACAAUAGAAUGAAUGAUUCUAAUGAUAAAUUUGUUCGAAAUACCAUCAUUAGCGCUAUAAAUUUAAAUCUUGUUGCCUCUGUUGGUUUGUAGUGUAAGUUAGAGACAACUAAACUGUAGAUGUUAUGGGUUGGAGUAUUUUGGACGCGGGUUCGAUUCCCGCCAUCUCCACCA
This 413-nucleotide transfer-messenger RNA is filed under the name Mycoplasmataceae. RNAcentral's name for it is "Spiroplasma_A diminutum Standard tmRNA". It matches the Rfam family "transfer-messenger RNA". From Rfam's summary of the family: Bacterial tmRNA, also known as 10Sa RNA or SsrA, is named for its dual tRNA and mRNA-like properties. Its role is to liberate the mRNA from a stalled ribosome. Lineage: Bacteria; Bacillati; Mycoplasmatota; Mollicutes; Mycoplasmatales. RNAcentral also lists the same sequence under 1 other name. The record is from RNAcentral.